AAGACCACAGGGAUUGCCCUAGUAACGGCGAGUGAAGCGGCAACAGCUCAAAUUUGAAAUCUGGCUCUUUCAGAGUCCGAGUUGUAAUUUGCAGAGGGCGCUUUGGCGUUGGCAGCGGUCCAAGUUCUUUGGAACAGGACGUCACAGAGGGUGAGAAUCCCGUACGUGGUCGCUAUCCUUCGCCGUGUAAAGCCCCUUCGACGAGUCGAGUUGUUUGGGAAUGCAGCUCUAAAUGGGAGGUAAAUUUCUUCUAAAGCUAAAUACUGGCCAGAGACCGAUAGCGCACAAGUAGAGUGAUCGAAAGAUGAAAAGCACUUUGGAAAGAGAGUCAAACAGCACGUGAAAUUGUUGAAAGGGAAGCGCUUGCAGCCAGACUUGCCUGUAGUUGCUUAUCCGGACUUUUGUCCGGUGCACUCUUCUAUAGGCAGGCCAGCAUCAGUUUGGGCGGUUAGAUAAAGGUCUCUGUCAUGUACCUCUCUUCGGAGAGGCCUUAUAGGGGAGACGACAUGUAACCAGCCUGGACUGAGGUCCGCGCAUCUGCUAGGAUGCUGGCGUAAUGGCUGUAAGCGGCCCGUCUUGAAACACGGACCAAGGAGUCUAACAUCUAUGCGAGUGUUUGGGUGUCAAGCCCAGACGCGUAAUGAAAGUGAACGGAGGUAAGAACCCUUUGGGUGCAUUAUCGACCGAUCCUGAUGUCUUCGGAAGGAUUUGAGUAAGAGCAUGGCUGUUGGGACCCGAAAGAUGGUGAACUAUGCUUGAAUAGGGUGAAGCCAGAGGAAACUCUGGUGGAGGCUCGCAGCGGUUCUGACGUGCAAAUCGAUCGUCAAAUUUGGGCAUAGGGGCGAAAGACUAAUCGAA
RNAcentral lists this ribosomal RNA (858 nucleotides) under Chaetosphaeronema hispidulum. RNAcentral's name for it is "partial large subunit ribosomal RNA". It matches the Rfam family "Eukaryotic large subunit ribosomal RNA", at positions 61 to 939 of the family's 3401-position model. Lineage: Eukaryota; Fungi; Ascomycota; Dothideomycetes; Pleosporales; Phaeosphaeriaceae. The record is from RNAcentral.